AACGGGUGAGUAAUAUAUCGGAACGUUACCUUUCAGGUGGGGAAUAACGUAGCGAAAGUUACGCUAAUACCGCAUAUUCUGUGAGCAGGAAAGCAGGGGAUCGCAAGACCUUGCGCUGAUUGAGCGGCCGAUAUCAGAUUAGCUAGUUGGUGAGGCAAAGGCUCACCAAGGCGACGAUCUGUAGCGGGUCUGAGAGGAUGAUCCGCCACACUGGAACUGAGACACGGUCCAGACUCCUACGGGAGGCAGCAGUGGGGAAUAUUGGACAAUGGGCGGAAGCCUGAUCCAGCAACGCCGCGUGAGGGAUGACGGCCUUCGGGUUGUAAACCUCUUUCAGUAGGGACGAAUGUAGACGGUACCUACAGAAGAAGCACCGGCCAACUACGUG
This 388-nucleotide ribosomal RNA is filed under the name uncultured bacterium. RNAcentral's name for it is "bacterial SSU rRNA". It matches the Rfam family "Bacterial small subunit ribosomal RNA", at positions 101 to 507 of the family's 1533-position model. The record is from RNAcentral.